UCGGUAUGGGAUGGGGAUGCGUUCCAUUAGUUAGUUGGCGGGGUAACGGCCCACCAAGACAACGAUGGAUAGGGGUUCUGAGAGGAAGGUCCCCCACAUUGGAACUGAGACACGGUCCAAACUCCUACGGGAGGCAGCAGUGAGGAAUAUUGGUCAAUGGACGAGAGUCUGAACCAGCCAAGUAGCGUGAAGGAUGACUGCCCUAUGGGUUGUAAACUUCUUUUAUAUGGGAAUAAAAUGUUCCACGUGUGGGAUUUUGUAUGUACCAUAUGAAUAAGGAUCGGCUAACUCCGUGCCAGCAGCCGCGGUAAUACGGAGGAUCCGAGCGUUAUCCGGAUUUAUUGGGUUUAAAGGGAGCGUAGGUGGAUUGUUAAGUCAGUUGUGAAAGUUUGCGGCUCAACCGUAAAAUUGCAGUUGAAACUGGCAGUCUUGAGUACAGUAGAGGUGGGCGGAAUUCGUGGUGUAGCGGUGAAAUGCUUAGAUAUCACGAAGAACUCCGAUUGCGAAGGCAGCUCACUGGACUGCAACUGACACUGAGGCUCGAAAGUGUGGGUAUCAAACAGGAUUAGAUACCCUGGUAGUCCACACAGUAAACGAUGAAUACUCGCUGUUUGCGAUAUACAGUAA
Molecule: ribosomal RNA, 627 nt
Filed under: uncultured bacterium
Lineage: Bacteria
Description: bacterial SSU rRNA
Rfam family: Bacterial small subunit ribosomal RNA
Source: RNAcentral